This 413-nucleotide long non-coding RNA is filed under the name Capra hircus (goat). RNAcentral describes it as "lncRNA (ENSCHIG00010002278.1)". The record is from RNAcentral. Lineage: Eukaryota; Metazoa; Chordata; Mammalia; Artiodactyla; Bovidae.
AGAUGCUUCUGCCACAGAGAGAUGCUUCUGCCACAGUGAGAUGCUCCUACUGCACAGAGAUGCUCCUACCACUGAGAGACAAUCCUACCACUCAGAGAUGCUUCCACCGCACAGAGAUGCUGCUACCACUUAGAGAUGCUUCCACCGCACAGAGAUGCUCCUACCGCACAAAGAUGCUCCUACCACAAAGAGAUGCUUCCACCGCACAGAGAUGCUCCUACCACUCAGAGAUGCUCCUACCACUCAGAGAUGCUUCUGCCACAGAGAGAUGCUUCUGCCACAGUGAGAUGCUCCUACCACUGAGAGAUGCUCCUACCACUGAGAGAUGCUCCUACUGCUCAGAGGUGCUCCUUCCACAGAGAUGCUUCUACCAUUCAGAUAUGCUCCUGAGGCAGGAGAUAGAUGGGCCCUAG